GAUCCAUCCAAAGAAGAGAAGUAUACAAUACUCAACAGGAAUGUCCAAAGAAAAAGAACCUAGUUGACAGCAAAACAGAAGUACACUGGAGUAGCAAAUCAUCUGCUCAACCAUUCAAGGAUCACAACCAUACCCCUACAAACCCACAGCAAUUUCAUAAUAAAAAUCACAAGAAACCUCCAAUCCUUCAUGAGUACACUUUAAGGUGUGCAUACCAAUCUGCAAGAUAAAAAUUAUUUUGGCAACUACUUAGAUUUAGAGCUUUCAAGCUGUGUAUUAGCAAAAGCAUGUGCACAGUAGUCAGCAGUGUCAAAAAGUGAAGUUCAUGAUUUAUAUGCUAAAAAAGGUUGGUGUUUGUCUAGAAGAUACCUUUGGAGUAACCAAAAAAAGAUAGGAGAAGAAGAAACAAUCUGAGGCAAGUUUUCUUUUCCCCAGUGUCUACCUUCCAAUAAGUUUUAGCCUAUGCAUCAUGGCCUCCAGAUACUAAAACUCAGAAUAAUCAUCACAUAGCCGUAAAAUUAAUGAAUUACCACAGCAAUCCUUGGAAACAAAAUCAACAACAACAGAUAAAUACAACCAAUAGAUAAAACCUCCAGAUUAAUCAUCACUAGGUUAAAAAACCCAACAAAUAGAGCAAUCACUAGAAUAGAAAGACAGACUGCAGUCAAUGCCGAAUCCCAAGGAAUUUAAAUGAUAUCAAAAUAAAAAUUCAAAUGAGGCAACAAACAAGCAACUUAACCAUUGAAGGAUUACAAAAACAAAUUGAAAUCAAGAAUCCCAACAGUAACUUCAGCAUGUACACUAAAACCCUCAUAAUAAUCAUCACAGGGCCAUAAAGAUAAAUGAUUUAAUACAAUAGUACACACAAAAUAAAACCAACAAUGAUACAUGGAUCCAGCUGAAACAGCAAAACAACUACUCAAACCUUCAGAUCAGUCAUCAUCAAAUUACAAAACCCAACCUAUGGACCGAUCCUAGCAAUAAAAGAACAUAUUUCUCAAGUACAAUAUCUAAUCACAAGCAACCAAAUUCAUAUGGCAAAAGAGAAAUGGAAUGGAAGCAGCAGAUUAGCCACUCAAACAUGCAGGAACAUUUAUUCAAACACAUGGAGACAGCUCUCCUCCAGACCACAAUAAGCAUAGCCAUGGCUUUCGAGCAUAAUAUAUGGAAAGGGUCAGUAGAGGGAGGACCAGCUCAUAGCCCACAUCCCCACUUCACUUCCUCUAUGUCCCUCACAAAAAGAGCAAGAUGAUACAAAAAUCAAUAAAACCAGACUUUCUAUCAAGAUACCAGGGCAACAGUAGAACAAACCAGAAUUUGACCAAAAUAAUUCAACUUCACCCACCAAAGCUCCAAAAAAGAGCAUAACAUAACAAAUGCAUAGGUGAAACUGCGCAAAGCCCAAGCACAGUGAAGGAAAACCAAAAAAUCCACUCCAAUCUUAAAGAAGAUUCCAGUCUAGACCAAAAAAACGCAGUGGGAGCAGCAGAUCACCCAUUCAACCAUUCAUGGACAUUUCUUCAAACACUUGAAGGUAGUACUAGCCACAGAUCAUGGCUUUGCAGAAGAAGACAUGGAAAGAGUUAGAAGAAUAGGGGAAGAGGGUUAGCAGAAACCAUGGCACAACAAAGAUAGAAAAAGCAAAGAGGAAGGUCUUUGUGUUUCUUUGGUGAAGGCACAUAGAAUGAUCAUUCCAACCUCUUCUGGUGGCCUUCUCUUGGCAUCUAGUAGCAUUACUUGAGCUGGCUAGGGUCCAGGGAAAAGGAAGACCUUAAGAGGGCCGAGGUUUUGGCCUUUUUUUAUGGGGACAUUGUGAGAGGCUAAUCCUUACCUUCUACCUUAUACCUACCCCAUCCCUCAAAGGGCUGCCUCUAAUCGGAAUCAAACCUGAUACACCUCGGAUCUGACUUGCGUGAUGUGGCAUUGCCGAAUAGGAGCUCAACACAGACCAGCCACAAAACCCAUCACCUCGGCCAACCAGUUCUUGCCAUGUGGCCAACCUAAGGGCAUGCAAAGAAAAUCAAAUCAACCUCCACUCGGUGAUAGUUGGACUAUAAUAGAGGAAUGACCUCCACAAUUGUGAGAUCUGUAUCUUAUCGUAUCCUAACAAGCUUAAGGACGUGCGAAACAAUUAUCCCCAACCUCCCUCGCAUGUCUUUAACGCCUUGGGAUCCAACCCUCAUCUACAUAAACUCUUCCCUAGGGAACCUCCAGAUAAGUCCACACAAGUCGAACCAAGUCUAGACAAGACUUCUUAAGCCUAAAUCCUUCCGAAUACCCUCAAAUUCUUGGAAGCUCUCUAAAGUUCUACCGAGUCUCUAGAAAAAUCUUUGAGUCACCGAGUCUCCACUCAUGAGCUCAGAGUACCCUACCAGUGGUGAUCCACCCAAAGAGUCUCUCAUAGUUCUAGACUGAGUGACAUCCCCUUGAGACUAUAUCUCUCCCAAACAUAGACCGUUCCUCUCUCCCACAAACUCAAGACUUCCACUCACAUGCACCGCUGAUUUGAUCUCAUCUCCUUCUACUUCUUUUAGAACUUCCUUUGUUCCAUCGAGGUAGACUAACGCGUCAGAGGGUCCUCACCAGAAAACCCUCGGCAAGCGGACUUCCUUUGCUUUUGGUGUUUCAGCAUACUCAAAGAGGUUGAAACAUAGUUUUGAACCUCUUCGAUAGCUUUCCGACUUUCAGCCAGCUCCUAGAGUCCCUAGGUUGCCACUUACCCCCUCUUAUCCUUAGCUUAAGCUCAUCGGCCUGAGCUAAAUCGAUCCUCGGUGGCAACAAAACCCAUACCCUUAGCCUAAGUGGCAGGGAGUAAUAUUAUUCGAGUGCUUGGUGGGAUAGGGUUUUUCCUUGAAAGAACACCAUCACAUAAGUUUAGGUUGAAGUUCUUGACCUUGAGAGGGCUUGUGUUUCACUUUGUGUAGGUUUCCUCCAUGCCCCACGCAGAACAACAAAAGACAACCUCCACUCGGUGAUAGUUGGACUAUAAUAGCAGAAUGACCUCCACAAUUGUGAGAUCUGUAUCUUAUCAUAUCCCAACAAGCUCAAGAACGUGCGAAACAGUUAUCCCCAACCUCCCUCGCAUGUUCUUAAUGCCUUGGGAUCCAACCCUCAUCUACAUAAACUCUUUCCUAGGGAACCUCUAGAUAAGUCCACACAAGUCGAAUCAAGUCUAGACAAGACUUCCUAAGCCUAAAUCCUUCCGAAUACCCUCAAAUUCUUGGAAGCUCUCUAAAGUUCUAUCGAGUCUCUAGAAAAAUCUUUGAGUCACCGAGUCUCCACUCAUGAGCUCAGAGUACCCUACCAGUGGUGAUCCACCCAAAGGGUCUCUCAUAGUUCUAGACUGAGUGACAUCCCCUUGAGACUAUAUCUCUCCUAAACAUAGACCGUUCCUCUCUCCCACAGACUCAAGACUUCCACUCACAUGCACCGUUGAUUUGAUCUCAUCUCCUUCUACUUCUUUUAGAACUUCCUUUGUUCCAUCGAGGUAGACUAAUGCAUCAGAGGGUCCUCACUAGAAAACCCUCGGCAAGCGGACUUCCUUUGCUUUUGGUGUUUCAGCAUGCUCAAAAAAGUUGAAACAUAGUUUUGGACCUCUCCGACAGCUUUCCGACUUUCAACCAGCUCCUAGAGUCCCUAGGUUGCCAAUUACCGCCUCUUAUCCUUAGCUUCAGCUCAUCGGCCUGAGCUAAAUCGACCCUCGGUGGCAACAAAACCCAUACCCCUAGCCUAAGUAGCAGGGAGUAAUAUUAUUCGAGUGCUUGGUGGGAUAGGGUUUCCCCUUGAAAGAACACCAUCACAUAAGUUUAGGUUGAAGUUCUUGACCUUGAGAGGGCUUGUGUUUCACUUUGUGUAGGUUUCCUCCAUGCCCCACACAAAACAACAAAAGACAACCUACAAAUCAACAAUAUUAGCUAUUUUAUUCAAAAGCAAAUUAAAGCAAAAUUCUGCCAAAAUAACCCCACUCCAACAACCAAGACUAGGAAUUUGAAAAUAAUACAUUAAACAAAAUAGAGAUAAGCAAAAUAGUGCAAAGCCCAAGGGUAAUGAAAGGAAACCAGAAAAAUCCUAUCUUGAUCUUAGCCAAGCUUAUCCCUUUAAAUAUAUAUAAGAAAGUCAUCCAAUAUGGACUGACUCCAAGAUAGAGCUUUGCAGGAAGCAAUAACCCCCAAUAUCACUCCAAAUGUCCCCAUCCCACAGUUUUCCCAAAUGCAGUUUUACAAGCAUGACCAUAAU
RNAcentral lists this long non-coding RNA (4236 nucleotides) under Elaeis guineensis (African oil palm). Its description in RNAcentral is "long non-coding RNA (EGUI_LNC000829)". The record is from RNAcentral. Lineage: Eukaryota; Viridiplantae; Streptophyta; Magnoliopsida; Arecales; Arecaceae.